UGGUCAACGAAAAUGAAGAGACAUUUUGGCAUAGUUUUUAUUUUGUGAACCACAUUUAGUCUCGUUUUUUUCGUCAACGAUAUUGCAUUAGACAUUUAGUUAUAGCCAUCGUCACACGACCAGCAUUUUCGUUGCAUCUCGUCUCGUUUUCGUCACAUGAUAAAGGAAGAUAAACGAGAAGACUCUACUGGAGGGACACAAAGUUGUGUUGGUUCCUUACAAUGCAAACCACGUGCCCAGGUAUCAUGAAUGGAAGAAGCGUCCUGAGCUGCAGCAUCUGACCGCCUCAGAGCCACCGACCCUGGAAGAGGAGUACGACAUGCAGGGGAGCUGGAGGGAAGACGAUGACAGUAAGACUUCUUCUGAAGUAAAUGUGCAUACAGAACAUGCUCUUAUUUAUCCUCUAACUUGUUAUAAAUCUGAAGGCUUGCCAGACUUAGCCUUUAGCCUUAGAUUUUUUUCAUGUGAGUAACUUCUCCUGUGGUGGUGGGACAGAAAACAAUCUUGUUCUCUAAAUAAAAGAGUAAACACAAUAAAGAGUUCUUUUUCUUUUCACUCUACCUCCCACAAAUGUAAAUGUAAAAAGAAAUGCUGGCUGCUUUCACCCUACCCUACUUCACCUACUCACAUUCCCAAGCACCCCCAGUAAUUACAGGUACCCAAGCCUUUCUCCGUGUUACCAGCUAGCUGGUUUCAGGAGGCACUUCACUUAUCUUUCACAUUUCAUCUAUCUACUGUAGUGGCUAAAAAUAAACAAGGUUCCAGAGGUAACAGUA
This is a long non-coding RNA of Monopterus albus (swamp eel), 776 nucleotides long. RefSeq lists it as uncharacterized. The record is from RefSeq and is a predicted model, not a curated record. The transcript has 3 exons. NCBI's taxonomy places the organism in Eukaryota, Metazoa, Chordata, Actinopteri, Synbranchiformes, Synbranchidae.